RNAcentral lists this ribosomal RNA (1079 nucleotides) under Pseudoalteromonas sp. RNAcentral's name for it is "bacterial SSU rRNA". It matches the Rfam family "Bacterial small subunit ribosomal RNA", at positions 37 to 1114 of the family's 1533-position model. The record is from RNAcentral. Lineage: Bacteria; Pseudomonadati; Pseudomonadota; Gammaproteobacteria; Alteromonadales; Pseudoalteromonadaceae.
UCGUGAUGCGAGCUACACAUGCAGUCGAGCGGUAACAGAAAGUAGCUUGCUACUUUGCUGACGAGCGGCGGACGGGUGAGUAAUGCUUGGGAACAUGCCUUGAGGUGGGGGACAACAGUUGGAAACGACUGCUAAUACCGCAUAAUGUCUACGGACCAAAGGGGGCUUCGGCUCUCGCCUUUAGAUUGGCCCAAGUGGGAUUAGCUAGUUGGUGAGGUAAUGGCUCACCAAGGCGACGAUCCCUAGCUGGUUUGAGAGGAUGAUCAGCCACACUGGGACUGAGACACGGCCCAGACUCCUACGGGAGGCAGCAGUGGGGAAUAUUGCACAAUGGGCGCAAGCCUGAUGCAGCCAUGCCGCGUGUGUGAAGAAGGCCUUCGGGUUGUAAAGCACUUUCAGUCAGGAGGAAAGCUUGGUGGUUAAUACCUGUCAUCUGUGACGUUACUGACAGAAGAAGCACCGGCUAACUCCGUGCCAGCAGCCGCGGUAAUACGGAGGGUGCGAGCGUUAAUCGGAAUUACUGGGCGUAAAGCGUACGCAGGCGGUUUGUUAAGCGAGAUGUGAAAGCCCCGGGCUCAACCUGGGAACUGCAUUUCGAACUGGCAAACUAGAGUGUGAUAGAGGGUGGUAGAAUUUCAGGUGUAGCGGUGAAAUGCGUAGAGAUCUGAAGGAAUACCGAUGGCGAAGGCAGCCACCUGGGUCAACACUGACGCUCAUGUACGAAAGCGUGGGGAGCAAACGGGAUUAGAUACCCCGGUAGUCCACGCCGUAAACGAUGUCUACUAGAAGCUCGGAGCCUCGGUUCUGUUUUUCAAAGCUAACGCAUUAAGUAGACCGCCUGGGGAGUACGGCCGCAAGGUUAAAACUCAAAUGAAUUGACGGGGGCCCGCACAAGCGGUGGAGCAUGUGGUUUAAUUCGAUGCAACGCGAAGAACCUUACCUACACUUGACAUACAGAGAACUUACCAGAGAUGGUUUGGUGCCUUCGGGAACUCUGAUACAGUGCUGCAUGCUGUCGUCAGCUCGUGUUGUGAGAUGUUGGGGUUAAGUCCCGCAACGAGCGCAACCCCUAUCCUUAG